Non-coding RNA from Ceratotherium simum simum (southern white rhinoceros), 357 nucleotides. The record is from the annotation of a RefSeq genome assembly. NCBI's taxonomy places the organism in Eukaryota, Metazoa, Chordata, Mammalia, Perissodactyla, Rhinocerotidae.
AUGAGUGGCAAAAACCAAGUGGAGCAGAGUCCUCUGUCCCUGAUCAUCGUGGAGGGAAAGAACUGCACAUUUCAAUGCAAUUAUACAGUGAUCUCCUUUAACAUCUUAAGGUGGUACAAACAGGACACUGGGAGAGGUCCUGUUUCCCUGAUAACCAUGACUUACAGUGAGAGUGAAAAAUUGAAUGGAAGGUAUACAGCGACUCUGGAUACAACCGUCAAGCACAGCUCCCUGCACAUCACAGCCGCCCAGCUCAGCGAUCCAGCCUUCAACAUCUGUGCGAUGGGCGCACUGUGCUCCCCAGGCACUUGCAGCCAGUAUACAAACCUGUACCAGGAGAUUGUGAAGAAGGCUUAG